This 443-nucleotide ribosomal RNA is filed under the name uncultured bacterium. RNAcentral describes it as "partial 16S ribosomal RNA". It matches the Rfam family "Bacterial small subunit ribosomal RNA", at positions 338 to 795 of the family's 1533-position model. The record is from RNAcentral.
CCUACGGGUGGCAGCAGUGGGGAAUAUUGGGCAAUGGGCGCAAGCCUGACCCAGCAACGCCGCGUGAAGGAAGAAGGCCCUCGGGUUGUAAACUUCUUUUGUCAGGGACGAAACAUAUGACGGUACCUGACGAAUAAGCCACGGCUAACUACGUGCCCGCACCCGCGGUAAUACGUAGGUGGCAAGCGUUAUCCGGAUUUACUGGGUGUAAAGGGCGUGUAGGCGGGAGAGCAAGUCAGAUGUGAAAGUCCAGGGCUCAACCCUGGAACUGCGUUUGAAACUGUUUUUCUUGAGUGAGGGGAAGGCAGGCGGAAUUCGGUGUGGAGCGGUGAAAUGCGUAGAUAUACGGAGGAACACCAAUGGCGAAGGCAGCCUGCUGGACAGUAACUGACGCUGAGGCGCGAAGGCGUGGGGAGCGAACAGGAUUAGAUACCCUAGUAGUC